ACGCACGCUGGCGGCGUGCUUAACACCUGCAAGUCGAACGAAGAGCGAUGGAAGCUUGCUUCUAUCAAUCUUAGUGGCGAACGGGUGAGUAACGCGUAAUCAACCUGCCCUUCAGAGGGGGACAACAGUUGGAAACGACUGCUAAUACCGCAUACGAUCUAAUCUCGGCAUCGAGGAUAGAUGAAAGGUGGCCUCUACAUGUAAGCUAUCACUGAAGGAGGGGAUUGCGUCUGAUUAGCUAGUUGGAGGGGUAACGGCCCACCAAGGCGAUGAUCAGUAGCCGGUCUGAGAGGAUGAACGGCCACAUUGGGACUGAGACACGGCCCAGACUCCUACGGGAGGCAGCAGUGGGGAAUCUUCCGCAAUGGACGAAAGUCUGACGGAGCAACGCCGCGUGAGUGAUGACGGCCUUCGGGUUGUAAAGCUCUGUUAAUCGGGACGAAAGGCCUUCUUGCGAAUAGUGAGAAGGAUUGACGGUACCGGAAUAGAAAGCCACGGCUAACUACGUG
This 509-nucleotide ribosomal RNA is filed under the name uncultured bacterium. RNAcentral describes it as "partial 16S ribosomal RNA". It matches the Rfam family "Bacterial small subunit ribosomal RNA", at positions 29 to 507 of the family's 1533-position model. The record is from RNAcentral.